This 465-nucleotide ribosomal RNA is filed under the name Vreelandella stevensii. Its description in RNAcentral is "partial 16S ribosomal RNA". It matches the Rfam family "Bacterial small subunit ribosomal RNA", at positions 338 to 795 of the family's 1533-position model. The record is from RNAcentral. Lineage: Bacteria; Pseudomonadati; Pseudomonadota; Gammaproteobacteria; Oceanospirillales; Halomonadaceae.
CCUACGGGUGGCAGCAGUGGGGAAUAUUGGACAAUGGGGGCAACCCUGAUCCAGCCAUGCCGCGUGUGUGAAGAAGGCCCUCGGGUUGUAAAGCACUUUCAGUGAGGAAGAACGCCUGGUGGUUAAUACCCAUCAGGAAAGACAUCACUCACAGAAGAAGCACCGGCUAACUCCGUGCCAGCAACCGCGGUAAUACGGAGGGUGCGAGCGUUAAUCGGAAUUACUGGGCGUAAAGCGCGCGUAGGUGGCUUGAUAAGCCGGUUGUGAAAGCCCCGGGCUCAACCUGGGAACGGCAUCCGGAACUGUCAAGCUAGAGUGCAGGAGAGGAAGGUAGAAUUCCCGGUGUAGCGGUGAAAUGCGUAGAGAUCGGGAGGAAUACCAGUGGCGAAGGCGGCCUUCUGGACUGACACUGACACUGAGGUGCGAAAGCGUGGGUAGCAAACAGGAUUAGAUACCCGUGUAGUC